This 74-nucleotide transfer RNA is filed under the name Firmicutes bacterium CAG:424. It matches the Rfam family "tRNA". From Rfam's summary of the family: Transfer RNA (tRNA) molecules are approximately 80 nucleotides in length. Their secondary structure includes four short double-helical elements and three loops (D, anti-codon, and T loops). Lineage: Bacteria; Bacillati; Bacillota. The record is from Rfam by way of RNAcentral.
GGGAUGGUAGCUUAAGCGGUCUGAGCGGCGGACUGAAAAUCUGCAGGAUGAAGGUUCGACACCUUCUCAUCCCA